RNAcentral lists this ribosomal RNA (810 nucleotides) under Thomasclavelia ramosa DSM 1402. Its description in RNAcentral is "bacterial LSU rRNA". It matches the Rfam family "Bacterial large subunit ribosomal RNA", at positions 1116 to 1935 of the family's 2925-position model. Lineage: Bacteria; Bacillati; Bacillota; Erysipelotrichia; Erysipelotrichales; Coprobacillaceae. The record is from RNAcentral.
CCAUCCUUUAAAGAGUGCGUAACAGCUCACUAGUCGAAUGACUCUGCGCCGAUAAUUUACCGGGGCUAAGUAUAUUACCGAAGCUAUGGAUUUACGCGUAAGCGUGAGUGGUAGGGGAGCGUUCUAUGUGCGGAGAAGCGGUACCGUAAGGAGCCGUGGAGCGCAUAGAAGAGAGAAUGCCGGUGUGAGUAGCGAAACGUGGGUGAGAAUCCCACGCACCGAAAACCCAAGGUUUCCAGAGGAAGGUUCGUCCGCUCUGGGUAAGUCGGGACCUAAGGCGAGGCCGAGAGGCGUAGUCGAUGGACAACAGGUAGAGAUUCCUGUACUUACGGUAUGAAUGAUGGAGUGACGGAGAAGGCUAGCGGAUCCUGCUGAUGGAAAUGCAGGUGCAAGCGAGGUAGCCGACAGCCAGGCAAAUCCGGCUGUCGAAAGGCAAAGGCGUGAGGCGUAUGGAAAGCUGCGGCAAGUACAGAAGUCCGUGAAGCCAGCUUCCAAGAAAAGCUUCUAGUGAUAAUCAUACAGUAACCCGUACCGAAAAUGGACACACAUGGGUGAGGAGAGAAUCCUAAGGUGAGCGAGAGAACUAUAGCUAAGGAACUCUGCAAAAUGACUCCGUAACUUAGGGAUAAGGAGUGCUCAUAGAGAUAUGAGCCGCAGUGAAACGGCCCAAGCGACUGUUUACCAAAAACACAGCUCUAUGCUAAGUCGAAAGACGACGUAUAUGGGGUGACGCCUGCCCGGUGCUGGAAGGUUAAGAGGAUGUGUCAGCGCAAGCGAAGCAUUGAAUUGAAGCCCCAGUAAACGGCGGCC